Molecule: ribosomal RNA, 254 nt
Filed under: uncultured bacterium
Lineage: Bacteria
Description: partial 16S ribosomal RNA
Rfam family: Bacterial small subunit ribosomal RNA
Source: RNAcentral
UACGUAGGGUGCGAGCGUUGUCCGGAAUUAUUGGGCGUAAAGAGCUCGUAGGCGGUGUGUCACGUCGGCCGUGAAAACCUGCAGCUUAACUGUGGGCGUGCGGUCGAUACGGGCAUCACUGGAGUUCGGCAGGGGAGACUGGAAUUCCUGGUGUAGCGGUGAAAUGCGCAGAUAUCAGGAGGAACACCGGUGGCGAAGGCGGGUCUCUGGGCAUGUCCUGACGCUGAGGAGCGAAAGUGUGGGGAGCGAACAGG